Ribosomal RNA from Pteropus vampyrus (large flying fox), 118 nucleotides. The record is from Ensembl. Lineage: Eukaryota; Metazoa; Chordata; Mammalia; Chiroptera; Pteropodidae.
GUCUACCGCCAUGCUAUCCUGCACAAGCCCAUCCCGUCUGAUUUCAGAAGCUAAGCAGGGUCGGGCCUGGUUAAUACGUGGAUGGGAGACCACCUAGGAAGACCAGGUGCCGCAGGCG